RNAcentral lists this ribosomal RNA (460 nucleotides) under uncultured bacterium. Its description in RNAcentral is "partial 16S ribosomal RNA". It matches the Rfam family "Bacterial small subunit ribosomal RNA", at positions 338 to 795 of the family's 1533-position model. The record is from RNAcentral.
CCUACGGGCGGCAGCAGUGAGGAAUAUUGGUCAAUGGACGAGAGUCUGGACCAGCCACGUAGCGUGAAGGAUGACUGCCCUAUGGGUGGUAAACUUCUUUUAUAUGGGAAUAAAAUGUUCCACGUGUGGGAUUUUGUCUGUACCAUAUGAAUAAGGAUCGGCUAACUCCGUGCCAGGAGCCGCGGUAAUACGGAGGAUCCGUGCGUUAUCCGGAUUUAUUGGGUUUAAAGGGAGCGUAGGUGGAUUGUUAAGUCAGUUGUGAAAGUUUGCGGCUCAACCGUAAAAUUGCAGUUGAAACUGGCAGUCUUGAGUACAGUAGAGGUGGGCGGAAUUCGUGGUGUAGCGGUGAAAUGCUUAGAUAUCACGAAGAACUCCGAUUGCGAAGGCAGCUCACUGGACUGCAACUGACACUGAGGCUCGAAAGUGUGGGUAUCAAACAGGAUUAGAUACCCCUGUAGUC